Molecule: long non-coding RNA, 608 nt
Organism: Chiroxiphia lanceolata (lance-tailed manakin)
Lineage: Eukaryota; Metazoa; Chordata; Aves; Passeriformes; Pipridae
Exons: 3
Source: RefSeq, a predicted model, not a curated record
GGGUGGGAUUGGGAUUAAGAAAUGAGCAGUGAUGGUACAAUUGGCUGUUUUCUCUGGAAUAUUAUGGGAAGAGCUGCAGGAGUGUAAGGUGUAUGUUCCAGUCCCCACCAUUUGGUUUGCACAUGUCCUGCUCAGACACAGGUCCAACUUCCUCAGUCCUUAACCCAAGAGAGGGAGAAUUAAGGACUGGCAGUAUUAAGGUGAUUGGUGUGACAGGGGUUAAACUGGGAAAACAUUGGGUGAUUGCUCAGUUUGUCUGUUUGCCAAACUCACCCAAACCUCUGCUCGGAAGAGAUGGAGUGGAAAAACUGAGGCAGAAAUGGAAUUGAAAACUGUGGAUAUUGAAACUGUAAUUGCUGAAACUAAAUGUGUCCAAGCAGCAGCUCUUGUUGUGCAGGGAAUAACUCCUGUCAGCAGCAAGGUCCCGACUGAAGUGGCAGCUGCAGUGGAAUUGCAGGAGAGUGGAAGAGGGCAGAACCUGUAGGUAUUACCCCUAAUGUGGGAUCUCUCCUGAAUGUGAGUGCAAGAACCUGCCAAGAAAACCAAUGGCCAAGGGGAUUGAUGAGUGCAGGACCUGAGAGAACCCCUGAGAAAAUCUGGAAAGCAGG